This 501-nucleotide ribosomal RNA is filed under the name uncultured bacterium. RNAcentral describes it as "partial 16S ribosomal RNA". It matches the Rfam family "Bacterial small subunit ribosomal RNA", at positions 28 to 507 of the family's 1533-position model. The record is from RNAcentral.
GAUUAACGCUGGCGGCGUGCCUAACACAUGCAAGUCGAGCGGCAGCGAGUUUUACACUGAAUUCUGGAAGCUUCUAGUUGAAAGAGAAGAUUUAUUCAAGAAUUUUGUGUAAAAUGUCGGCGAGCGGCGGACGGCUGAGUAACGCGUGGGAACGUACCCCAAAGUGAGGGAUAACGCAUCGAAAGGUGUGCUAAUACCGCAUAUGGUCUUCGGAUUAAAGCCUUCGGGCGCUUUGGGAACGGCCUGCGUAAGAUUAGAUAGUUGGUGGGUAAUGGCCUACCAAGUCGACGAUCUUUAACUGGUUUGAGAGGAUGAUCAGUCAGACUGGAACUGAGACACGGUCCAGACUCCUACGGGAGGCAGCAGUGAGGAAUCUUCCACAAUGGGCGAAAGCCUGAUGGAGCAACGCCGCGUGCAGGAUGAAGGCCUUCGGGUUGUAAACUGCUUUUAUAAGUGAGGAUUAUGACAGUAACUUAUGAAUAAGGAUCGGCUAACUACGUG